Molecule: non-coding RNA, 73 nt
Organism: Ixodes scapularis (black-legged tick)
Lineage: Eukaryota; Metazoa; Arthropoda; Arachnida; Ixodida; Ixodidae
Source: Rfam
UCCUGGUUAGCUCAGUUAGUAGAGCGCUCUACUAGAAAUGGAGAGGUCCCUGGUUCGAUACCAGGACCAGGCA